UACAGAGGGUGCGAGCGUUAAUCGGAAUUACUGGGCGUAAAGCGUGCGUAGACGGUUAUUUAAGUCGGAUGUGAAAGCCCCGGGCUCAACCUGGGAAUUGCAUUCGAGACUGAAUAGCUAGGGUACGGUAGAGGGAAGUGGAAUUUCCGGUGUAGCGGUGAAAUGCGUAGAUAUCGGAAGGAACAUCAGUGGCGAAGGCGGGUCUCUGGGCCGAUACUGACGCUGAGGAGCGAAAGCGUGGGGAGCGAACAGG
RNAcentral lists this ribosomal RNA (253 nucleotides) under uncultured bacterium. Its description in RNAcentral is "partial 16S ribosomal RNA". It matches the Rfam family "Bacterial small subunit ribosomal RNA", at positions 524 to 776 of the family's 1533-position model. The record is from RNAcentral.